GUCCACGCCCUAAACGAUGAUCACUGGGUGUUGGGGAAGCGAUUCCUUGGUACCGUAGCUAACGCGUGAAGUGAUCCGCCUGGGGAGUACGGUCGCAAGAUUAAAACUCAAAGGAAUUGACGGGGACCCGCACAAGCGGUGGAUGAUGUGGAUUAAUUCGAUGCAACGCGAACAACCUUACCUACCCUUGACAUGUCCGGAACCCUGCUGAGAGGUGGGGGUGCCCGAAAGGGAAUCGGAACACAGGUGCUGCAUGGCUGUCGU
This 264-nucleotide ribosomal RNA is filed under the name uncultured bacterium. Its description in RNAcentral is "partial 16S ribosomal RNA". It matches the Rfam family "Bacterial small subunit ribosomal RNA", at positions 793 to 1055 of the family's 1533-position model. The record is from RNAcentral.